AGUGAACGCUGGCGGUAGGCCUAACACAUGCAAGUCGAACGGCAGCACAGUAAGAGCUUGCUCUUACGGGUGGCGAGUGGCGGACGGGUGAGGAAUACAUCGGAAUCUACUUUUUCGUGGGGGAUAACGUAGGGAAACUUACGCUAAUACCUCAUACGACCUACGGGUGAAAGCAGGGGAUCUUCGGACCUUUCGCGAUUGUAUGAGCCGAUGUCGGUUUAGCUAGUUGGCGGGGUAAAGGCCCACCAAGGCGACGAGCCGUAGCUGGUGAGCGAUGAUGGUGACACGCACUGGAACUGAGAAACGGUCCAGAGUACUACGAGAGGCCGCAUGGACGAAUAUUGGACAAUGGGCGCAAGACUGAUGCAGACAUACAGCAUGAGUGAAGAAAGCCUUCGGGUUGUAAGGCCCUUUUGUUAGGAAAGAAAAGCAGCAGGUGAAAACAGCGCUGUUCUGACGGUACCAAAAGAAUAAGCAACGGCUAACUUCGUG
Molecule: ribosomal RNA, 492 nt
Filed under: uncultured bacterium
Lineage: Bacteria
Description: partial 16S ribosomal RNA
Rfam family: Bacterial small subunit ribosomal RNA
Source: RNAcentral